Molecule: long non-coding RNA, 1229 nt
Filed under: Bos grunniens (domestic yak)
Lineage: Eukaryota; Metazoa; Chordata; Mammalia; Artiodactyla; Bovidae
Description: lncRNA (ENSBGRG00000001123.1)
Source: RNAcentral
AUGCCCCAGGAAACAGCAGUUGCUUCAGCUUGGGUGCUGAGUGAAGAGUCCUGUGAAGCCAGCUGGAAGUCUCUCUAUAGCCUGGAGCAGAACUGCAGCUCACCCAUCUGCCCUCAUGCACGUGACCAAGAGCAGCCUCCCACCCAAAUGAGCGACUUCCUCCAAGACAGCACCAGUGGGAGCUGAAAACCUUUCAUCUUAGUCCAGAGCAACCUCUACAGACUUUGUUUCCCUCUGGAGCAAAUCAGAGCUUAACAAUUUCAAAAUCUCAGUGAUAAAGCAUCCUGAGGCCAGUGUUCAUUGUCACCUGUCUCUGUCAUCAGCACGCCGAAAAGACAAACUAUCUUGUCUGUCCUUGUUGGGAAGCAGAUGGAACAGAAAUGAGCAGAGCUGAUCACUGUUAGUGGAAGGAAUCAAUGUUCCUAGUGAGAGGCAGGCUAUUUAUGAAAUGAUUCAAGGGUUUUUCACUAAAAAAUAAAAAAGACCAGUGGCUGUUGACUUCUGCCUCUCAAGUUCUUUUUGGCUACUGGAAAACUCAAAGUCUAUGCUGGGAGGAAAAGCCAAGGUGGUAAACCCAGGAAAAAAUUAUACAGUAGUUCUAUCAUGACUAUAUUCCAAGUGCCAUAAUUAGAAACCUCUGAAAACCUCUCUCUCUCCAGCUAUGAAUUUCAAAAAUAUGAUGGAUUUAUUCUGCUCAAAUAUAACAUUCUUAAAGAUAAAACACCCUUAGGAAAUCCUAGAACAGGAAAUUAUCCAACCCCUACAAGGCAAUUAGCAGUCCAUCAAAAUUUAUUUAUUUGCUUUUCAUAAAAAAAUAACCUCAUUGUUUAUAUGACUGCAUUGAAUUUUUAUGAAGCCCAUAAUAGAAACUUUCUGACUCAUCGACAAGAGUUUGAAUUGAUUCAAAAAAUGCUGUGAUAAAAAUCUCAGCUUGGUAUUUUUGGCUCCUUAUAGAGGAGAGGAUUUCAACAAUUCUUUAAAACAAAUCCUAAAAACACAGUCCAUCACUCGAGAGUUUGAGUUUUGUAUUUUGCCAUCCUGUAUGUAGUUAAUCACAUCAUGGCAUUCUUUGUUCUACCUUGAAAUAGCCCACAAUAAUGCAAAUCACAACUACAAAAUUCAUGUAAAAAAAAAGAGUGGAGCAAAUGAAUUACGGGACUAUUGCGAGAUGGAUUUUUAACUUGUUACUGAAGCACAAAACCUGACUUGUGUCUAAGCCAGGAGCCUUU